This 1021-nucleotide ribosomal RNA is filed under the name Homalolinus difficilis. RNAcentral describes it as "partial large subunit ribosomal RNA". It matches the Rfam family "Eukaryotic large subunit ribosomal RNA", at positions 48 to 822 of the family's 3401-position model. The record is from RNAcentral. Lineage: Eukaryota; Metazoa; Arthropoda; Insecta; Coleoptera; Staphylinidae.
AAGCGGAGGAAAAGAAACUAACUAGGAUUCCCUUAGUAGCGGCGAGCGAACAGGGAAGAGCCCAGCACCGAAUCCCGCGGUCGUAACCGGCCGCCGGGAAAUGUGGUGUUAGGGAGGAUCGUUAUCCCGAGGUCGCGCGGCGCGUCCAAGUCCACCUUGAACGGGGCCACUUACCCAUAGAGGGUGCCAGGCCCGUAGCGACCGCCGCCGGCAACGGGUAGAUCUCUCCUUAGAGUCGGGUUGCUUGAGAGUGCAGCCCUAAGUGGGUGGUAAACUCCAUCUAAGGCUAAAUAUGACCACGAGACCGAUAGCGAACAAGUACCGUGAGGGAAAGUUGAAAAGAACUUUGAAGAGAGAGUUCAACAGUACGUGAAACCGUUCAGGGGUAAACCUGAGAAACUCGAAAGUUCGAAUGGGGAGAUUCAGCGCGUCUCGGAGCGCGCGAGUGGCGUCGUUGCGACGGUCGGCGUUCGCGUCGUCCGCGUCUUCGUCACCGCAGUGCGACGAACGUGUGCACUUCUCCCCUAGUAGAAGGUCGUGAGCCGUCGGGUGCCCGUCUACGGCCCGCGGUGGAGCCCGUGCGGAGCGUUCAGGCGCUCCGUCGGACCCGCGGUGUCCUGGCCGGCCCGCUCGACGGUGUUGAAGUUGGUGCGGGGCCGCGAUUUUCGCGUCCGGCACGCGACAAGCACGGCCGGUUCAAUCCGACUAUCGGACCUUGUGCCGAUACCGGACCCGGUCGACUGUUGGUCGCCGUGUUCUCGGACAGACCCCGAUACACCUGUCAACGACGCCCUUGCAUUGGGUACUCUCAGGACCCGUCUUGAAACACGGACCAAGGAGUCUAGCAUGUACGCGAGUCAUUGGGACUAGCGAAACCUAAAGGCGAAAUGAAAGCGAAGGCCGCCUCAGGGCGUGCCUAGGGAAGAUGCGGAGCGCCAAGGCGCUCCGCCGCACUCCCGGGGCGUCUCGUGCUCACUGCGAGCUGAGGCGCACCUAGAGCGUACAUGCUGGGACCCGAAAG